GACGAACGCUGGCGGCGUUCUUAACACAUGCAAGUCGAACGGAAAGGCCCUUCGGGGUACUCGAGUGGCGAACGGGUGAGUAACACGUGGGUGAUCUGCCCUGCACUUUGGGAUAAGCCUGGGAAACUGGGUCUAAUACCGAAUAGGACCACGCGCUUCAUGGUGUGUGGUGGAAAGCUUUUGCGGUGUGGGAUGGGCCCGCGGCCUAUCAGCUUGUUGGUGGGGUAAUGGCCUACCAAGGCGACGACGGGUAGCCGGCCUGAGAGGGUGACCGGCCACACUGGGACUGAGAUACGGCCCAGACUCCUACGGGAGGCAGCAGUGGGGAAUAUUGCACAAUGGGCGCAAGCCUGAUGCAGCGACGCCGCGUGAGGGAUGACGGCCUUCGGGUUGUAAACCUCUUUCACCAGGGACGAAGCGUAAGUGACGGUACCUGGAGAAGAAGCACCGGCCAACUACGUG
RNAcentral lists this ribosomal RNA (462 nucleotides) under uncultured bacterium. RNAcentral describes it as "partial 16S ribosomal RNA". It matches the Rfam family "Bacterial small subunit ribosomal RNA", at positions 28 to 507 of the family's 1533-position model. The record is from RNAcentral.